This 253-nucleotide ribosomal RNA is filed under the name uncultured bacterium. RNAcentral's name for it is "partial 16S ribosomal RNA". It matches the Rfam family "Bacterial small subunit ribosomal RNA", at positions 524 to 776 of the family's 1533-position model. The record is from RNAcentral.
UACAGAGGGUGCAAGCGUUGUUCGGAAUUAUUGGGCGUAAAGCGCGUGUAGGCGGCUUUGCAAGUCGGGUGUGAAAGCCCUCAGCUCAACUGAGGAAGUGCGCCCGAAACUGCAGAGCUUGAGUACCGGAGAGGAUGGUGGAAUUCCCCAAGUAGAGGUGAAAUUCGUAGAUAUGGGGAGGAACACCGGUGGCGAAGGCGACCAUCUGGACGGAUACUGACGCUGAGGCGCGAAAGCUAGGGGAGCAAACGGG